CUUGUUUCAUCUAAAUUAAGAUGGUUAAAAGCAGCAUUUUUCUUCUGCAUAAGUAAAGUUUCAAAGUUGUAUUAAGUCAAAUUUCAGUUGUAAACUUUUGAAAGAACAACCAUAAUGUUUUUUGUUCAGCUUUACAAACAUCUUCCAUUCCUGAGGUGAUCAUAAAUUUGAGGUUCUACUGUAUACAAAAACUGCUGCUGAAUGGCGUGGACUUGAAAAUUAAACUGACGCAUAGCAAAGA
Long non-coding RNA from Chelonia mydas (Green sea turtle), 241 nucleotides. RefSeq lists it as uncharacterized. Lineage: Eukaryota; Metazoa; Chordata; Testudines; Cheloniidae. The record is from RefSeq and is a predicted model, not a curated record. The transcript is spliced from 2 exons.